This 561-nucleotide ribosomal RNA is filed under the name Geastrum aff. morganii Herb. Zamora 367. Its description in RNAcentral is "eukaryotic LSU rRNA". The stretch from base 166 to 320 matches the Rfam family "5.8S ribosomal RNA". The record is from RNAcentral. Lineage: Eukaryota; Fungi; Basidiomycota; Agaricomycetes; Geastrales; Geastraceae.
CAUUACUGAAAGACAUAGGGUCUUGAGACUGCGUCUUUACCGGCGCGUGCUCGACUCUUACUCUUUAAUCCACACACACCUUUGUGCACCAUGGGACGGAAGUCCCCAUUUUACAUAAACACCUAGUUAUAUGCAUGUUUUUAUAUACUCUAUGGAGUAAUGUACAACUUUCAACAACGGAUCUCUUGGCUUUCGCAUCGAUGAAGAACGCAGCGAACGUGCGAAACGUAAUGUGAAUUGCAGAAUUCAGUGAAUCAUCGAAUCUUUGAACGCAUCUUGCGCUCCUUGGUAUUCCGAGGAGCAUGCCUGUUUGAGUGUCGUGUAGUACUCUCAAUUUCAAUCUUUUUGUUUGAAAUUGGAUUUGGGUGCUGUUGUGAAUCACAACUCAUCCUAAAUGCAUUAGCGAUCUGCCAUUGAUCACAUACAAUGUGAUAAGAAAAAGCAUUGUUGGGGAUUGAUUCGGGAUUGCUUCCAACUGUCGAAAGACAAAAAAGACAUUAAUCAUGUGUCAUUUGACCUCAGAUCAGGUAGGACUACCCGCUGAACUUAAGCAUAUCAAUA